This 496-nucleotide ribosomal RNA is filed under the name uncultured bacterium. RNAcentral describes it as "partial 16S ribosomal RNA". It matches the Rfam family "Bacterial small subunit ribosomal RNA", at positions 28 to 506 of the family's 1533-position model. The record is from RNAcentral.
GAUGAACGCUGGCGGCGUGCCUAAUACAUGCAAGUCGAGCGAACGGACGAGAAGCUUGCUUCUCUGAUGUUAGCGGCGGACGGGUGAGUAACACGUGGAUAACCUACCUAUAAGACUGGGAUAACUUCGGGAAACCGGAGCUAAUACCGGAUAAUAUUUUGAAUCGCAUGGUUCAAAAGUGAAAGACGGUCUUGCUGUCACUUAUAGAUGGAUCCGCGCUGCAUUAGCUAGUUGGUAAGGUAACGGCUUACCAAGGCAACGAUGCAUAGCCGACCUGAGAGGGUGAUCGGCCACACUGGAACUGAGACACGGUCCAGACUCCUACGGGAGGCAGCAGUAGGGAAUCUUCCGCAAUGGGCGAAAGCCUGACGGAGCAACGCCGCGUGAGUGAUGAAGGUCUUCGGAUCGUAAAACUCUGUUAUUAGGGAAGAACAUAUGUGUAAGUAACUGUGCACAUCUUGACGGUACCUAAGCAGAAAGCCACGGCUAACUACGU